UCAAGUUUUAUUUUUCAUUUUGUUAGUUGGCCCAUAUGUAAGUGAGAGAGAGGGGGUGAGAGAAAAUGUUUUUUCUUUUUAUUUUUUCUCUGAGUGGGCCCCACAUGUAAGCGACACAUGGAGGCAGGGGCAAAAUGUUCAGGAAACGUCCGGUAGACAGUCAAAGGCCUUUGACCUGACGGAAACGGCACGGAAGGGCAUUUCUAUAAGGGCACCUAACGGCGGAGGGGCAUUUUUGAGCAGGCUUUCAAAUUAGGGGCAAAUGUGAGUAGUGAGUUCGAGUUAGGGACACAAAUGUAAAAGACCCUUUCCAAAAAGGCCAUCUUGAAUACUCUACGAAGCCAUCUUUAACUUCCAGUCGGACUUGGUCAUGCAGCUGACUGGACUGUCCGAGUCUUUUAGUGAAUUUGCAGGCCGUAUACUAUCUCAGAUGAUGAUGACCCCAAAACCAAAGUUGAACGUUUUGAUGAUACACAACUUUCAUGCUGAACACUUUUCCAUCCGAAGCUAUCUGGAUAACUUCCCAGUUACUAACAUCCAAAUGUGUAUGAACAUAUUAAGAGAAAAGAAGACGAAAGAAAUGUACCCAUGAUCCUUCCUUCUACAAGAGAGGGCGGGGAAGUGGUAGACAUGACAACAAGAGCCAAUAGGCACAUAGCAUGCUCGCUGUUCUUGGUAAGCGCCAUUAGGAGUACUUGAGUAGCUAACUUUCUUAUUGUUCUGCUACUGUUCUUGUCAAUAUGUUGUCGCAGCUAUGUCCCUAUGCUAGUGUUUAUAUAAC
RNAcentral lists this long non-coding RNA (781 nucleotides) under Triticum aestivum (bread wheat). Its description in RNAcentral is "long non-coding RNA (TAES_LNC018773)". Lineage: Eukaryota; Viridiplantae; Streptophyta; Magnoliopsida; Poales; Poaceae. The record is from RNAcentral.